Pimephales promelas (fathead minnow) is the source of this 562-nucleotide non-coding RNA. Lineage: Eukaryota; Metazoa; Chordata; Actinopteri; Cypriniformes; Leuciscidae. The record is from RefSeq and is a predicted model, not a curated record.
UGGCCACUGGAGGCCGCUAGAGGUAGUAUAUUCUUAGUGAGGUAAUUCAUGUGACUGGGUUGGAGGCUGUGCACCCAGGAACCUGUAUAACUAAUAAUUCGAUUUGCACUUGCCUGACUUCUCUCAUCUCCGAAGAUCAGGGACAUUUCAGAGACCUUCAAGCUAGCGGCUAAUUCCGAAAAGCAGCAAAUCUAAAAUUUGCACCCUUGGUGAGCGGAGUAAGGUGUGUAUCAUUUGGCUCUAUGUAUAAUAGGACUUCAAGGAUGUAAAAUGUCAAAUUUUGACUGUUAUUGGAAAUUAUUUUGUUGUUUAUCUUGUACCAUGAAAGUGUAUAUGUUAAAGGAGACAAUUAUUGUCUUUAGUUGUUAUUUAAAUAACUUCAAAGGUCACUUGAUUUGUAUUGUACAUGUACAAAAAUGCAUCUUGAUAUACUGUAAAUGAGGUGAGGAUUUUGUUUGCGAAUUUGUGUCUAAAGGUUCAUUAAUCAGCUAUUUGUGUUUACUUAUAGUUUUCACGGUGCUCACGCUGAUUUGGACGAAUAAAAAUUACUGCACCCGUUUGA